Molecule: long non-coding RNA, 1019 nt
Organism: Carassius auratus (goldfish)
Lineage: Eukaryota; Metazoa; Chordata; Actinopteri; Cypriniformes; Cyprinidae
Exons: 5
Source: RefSeq, a predicted model, not a curated record
UUUCUCACGUUUACACUUCCAUGUGCUUGCUCCAGUCUUGAGUUUUUCCCUCGAUUGUCAACGGCGUUUAUCUGUUAAGUUAGUCUUUUAGAGUUAGCAGAAACCUGCUUUUAAAUGUAUUAACUGAAUCUUCGAGCUUCAUCCUGACCAGUUUUGGAUUGAAGCAGAGUUCACUCGCUUAACAUCUAAGGACCUCAUGAAGUCUUUUCUCUCAGGGUUGGAUCAGUAUGUACCCAGGUUCCUUCAGAUGUUUAGAGCCAAGUUGAGCAGCAUUUUCAGAACUGAAAAGCCUUCUAUGCAAGAUUGACCGUGAUACCCAAAAUGUGUCCAAAUAUCAGCUUUUAAGGCUUUGCACAGGCUCCUACUCUUCUUCUGCCUAUAAUUCCAUGUCAAUGAAAAGGGCCGUUGUUCUUCAAGGCCUUCCACAUUACCUCGGCGAGGAUCCAUCAGAUUUCUUCAAGUCAGCUGAGGAAACUGACAUUGAAGACGGUGUGAUGGUGGGAAUGGAUGUGGGCAUUCUCAUAAUGCCUGAUGAAGAUGAUGCCUUUGACUACUACGUGGUAGUGGAGGAACAAGUUGUCCUGAGUGAUGCCAAAGACCUCCCUCAUGCUGUGGCUCAACUAGUCGUACUGAUUUUUGCGCUUAACAUUGAUUAUCCCAAAAAACUACGCUACACAUUUGAGGUAAUUCAGAAGAUUUUAAUUGACCUUGGAGGUGAUCACUGUUUCGUGACGGUGCAUGGACUGAAAAAUAGAAUCUUUCGCAAAACUGUUUAGCAUUUUAACUGAAAGGUAUACGUUCUGUGCCUUUUUGUUUUUGGUCAUGAUUUAUUGGUGAAUUUCUGGUUGUUUUAAAACAAAGAAUGUUAAAUGAUUUUUUUUCUUAAUGUGGUUCUUUAUGCAGUGACAAUUUAUGUAACUUAAAGGGUUAGUUCACCCAAAUAAAAAAUUUAUGUAAUUAAUAACUUACCCUCAUGUCGUUCCAAACCCGUGAGACCUCAGUUUAUCUUCGGGACACAG